RNAcentral lists this ribosomal RNA (490 nucleotides) under uncultured bacterium. Its description in RNAcentral is "bacterial SSU rRNA". It matches the Rfam family "Bacterial small subunit ribosomal RNA", at positions 28 to 534 of the family's 1533-position model. The record is from RNAcentral.
GACGAACGCUGGCGGCGUGCCUAACACAUGCAAGUCGAACGAAGAAUGUUUUUCGGAAUAUUCUUAGUGGCGGACGGGUGAGUAACGCGUGAACAAUCUGCCCCGUACAAAGGGAUAGCCUCGGGAAACCGGGAUUAAAACCAUAUAACACUUAACUGCCGCAUGGUAGUGAAGUCAAAUCGAUUAAGAGGUAUGGGGAUGAGUUCGCGUCUGAUUAGCUAGUUGGUGAGGUAAGGGCUCACCAAGGCGACGAUCAGUAGCCGGCCUGAGAGGGUGAACGGCCACACUGGAACUGAGACACGGUCCAGACUCCUACGGGAGGCAGCAGUGGGGAAUAUUGCACAAUGGAGGGAACUCUGAUGCAGCGACGCCGCGUGAGUGAAGAAGGUCUUCGGAUCGUAAAACUCUGUCCUUGGUGAAGAAAGGACGGUAGCCAAGGAGGAAGCCCCGGCUAACUACGUGCCAGCAGCCGCGGUAAGACGUCACGUCG